CAUGCUAUGAUUGGCGUAUUUGAUCUCUUCCAAUUUUUUCUGAUUUGCCGGUUGGUUGUUAUCUCGGUGUUCAUGAAUCAUGAUCAACAAGCCAAAAAUGAAAAUAAGAAAAAUAAAAAAUAAAAGAAUAAAAAAAAAGCCACUAAAUGUCUCAUAUCCGUCUGCCACCUCCCGUGCUGCUUAAGGUAGUUCCCGAAACCCGUUCAGAUAUCGCCGUCCAGAUUCCCGCGGCUCCAUGAUGCAAAAUGGCGGAACUGAUUGCUUUGGUCCCCCCUACUAUUUUAAUUUUUAAAUGGCAGACAUGGCUAAUAUUCAGAUGUCCAGGGUGCAGAACAAGCAGGAUACGUGAAUGGAAGCCUGCCCAUGGCCCAUGUCGCGUCCGAAAACCAAAUGGGGGCCAGCCAUGGGUUGUUGUCGUUGUCCCGACAGGGCGGAAACCACUUACAACGCAUUUCAC
Molecule: small RNA, 457 nt
Filed under: Histoplasma capsulatum
Lineage: Eukaryota; Fungi; Ascomycota; Eurotiomycetes; Onygenales; Ajellomycetaceae
Also listed under: 1 other name
Description: hypothetical RNA
Source: RNAcentral